GCAACCAUUGAGCUUCAGAGCCAGCCGUGGAAGCGUCAGCCUAGAGCGACCGUAGAGAACGAAGAGAGGCCCUUUCAGAAACGGAAGUGGAUAUGAUAUCAUCGGCGAGCCGCCUAUAAAGAGAGGGCGGGAUGUGCUCUUCAAAAGUUACGUAAUGGAUGAUACUCUCUUGUUUUUGGGCCACACCAAGUGGCUUUUGGGACCUUACCCAACCAGGGAUUGAACCUAAGGCCCUCAGCACUGAAAGCAUGGAGUCCUAACCACUGGAUGGCCAAGGAAUUUCUGAGAGAUUCACUUUAAUCAUUUUUUUAAUGGAGACAUAAACAUGAGAUAUUCAUUUAUAGUUACAAAUGUAUUUACUCAUAGAUGCUUCUGUCUUUAAAUGACAAAAAUGAAUUUUAGAGAGGUCACAUAAAGCUAUCCAGUUCCAUGUACCACAUUGUAGAAGUUAAAGAUGGAAGCUACUAACCCAUUCGCCUGUCAAUUCCUCGAGGUCAUAUUGUACCUAUCUUGCUCACCAUUGUUUCCCUCGGACCUAGAUUACACCAGUAUUCAAUAAAUACCCACUGAAGAAGUGAAUACCAACUUGCAGGAAUCACCCCAAUAAAUGGAUUAAGGGUUGAAAAGGCAGUUGAGCGCAGGGCAAAGAGCAGCAUUGUUAGCAUCACACAAAACUUAAUUUAGAUGAUAACCCUGCUAUUUGCUACUUCUGUGAGUUUGAACUGAUAAGGUAAUCUUAAUACGUUUUAACUAUAAAAAUGUACCAAUAUUUAUGGGGUUACUGAGAGGAGUAAGUGUGAUAAUACAGGUAAAGUUUGUAACACAUUGCCUGGUUCAUGGUGGGUACUUGCUUAAUAGUAGAUAUUUUUUUGCAGUCUCUAAAAGCUAUUCAAAUAAUGAUUUAAUAAGCUGAAAAUGAAGAUUAAUAUAGACAAUUACUAUAAUUUAAAUGUGUAAUAUGUGUGGUGAUAGCUAUACUAUGCAGUAUACAUUCAUGCUUACUCUAUGCCAAGCACAAUCUGCAAUUUUUUAACAUGAAAUCAAGUGCAUUAUAUCAUCACCAUAUGAAUUGUUAAAGUUACUCUUGCUUUUAUGGAAGAGGAAACGGGGACACUGAAAAGUAAGAGGUGGAGGUGAACCUGGAAUUCAGGCAGAGAAAUACAAAAUAUCAGAGAGGAAACAUGGCUAAUCUUGGUUUCACUAA
This is a long non-coding RNA of Cervus elaphus (red deer), 1204 nucleotides long. RefSeq lists it as uncharacterized. The record is from RefSeq and is a predicted model, not a curated record. The transcript has 2 exons. Lineage: Eukaryota; Metazoa; Chordata; Mammalia; Artiodactyla; Cervidae.